GGGAACAUACCCUUUGGUUCGGAAUAACUCAGGGAAACUUGAGCUAAUACCGGAUAAGCGCGAGAGCGGAAAGAUUUAUCGCCGAAGGAUUGGCCCGCGUCCGAUUAGCUAGUUGGUGAGGUAAUGGCUCACCAAGGCGACGAUCGGUAGCUGGUCUGAGAGGAUGAUCAGCCACACUGGGACUGAGACACGGCCCAGACUCCUACGGGAGGCAGCAGUGGGGAAUAUUGGACAAUGGGCGCAAGCCUGAUCCAGCCAUGCCGCGUGAGUGAUGAAGGCCCUAGGGUUGUAAAGCUCUUUCGCCAGGGACGAUAAUGACGGUACCUGGAUAAGAAGCCCCGGCUAACUUCGUGCCAGCAGCCGCGGUAAUACGAAGGGGGCUAGCGUUGUUCGGAUUUACUGGGCGUAAAGCGCACGUAGGCGGAUCUUUAAGUCAGAGGUGAAAUCCCAAGGCUCAACCUUGGAACUGCCUUUGAUACUGGGGAUCUUGAGUCCGGGAGAGGUGAGUGGAACUGCGAGU
Molecule: ribosomal RNA, 520 nt
Filed under: uncultured bacterium
Lineage: Bacteria
Description: bacterial SSU rRNA
Rfam family: Bacterial small subunit ribosomal RNA
Source: RNAcentral